CCGGCAACCGGCGCACGGGUGAGUAACACGUAUGCAACCUGCCCGUCUCUGGGGGAUAAUCGUCGGAAACGGCGUCUAAUACCCCGUAUGAAGCUGGACGGCAUCGUCUGGUUUUGAAAGAAUAUCGGAGACGGAUGGGCAUGCGGCGCAUUAGCUAGUUGGCGGGGUAACGGCCCACCAAGGCGACGAUGCGUAGGGGUUCUGAGAGGAAGGUCCCCCACACUGGUACUGAGACACGGACCAGACUCCUACGGAAGGCAGCAG
Molecule: ribosomal RNA, 264 nt
Filed under: uncultured bacterium
Lineage: Bacteria
Description: partial 16S ribosomal RNA
Rfam family: Bacterial small subunit ribosomal RNA
Source: RNAcentral